This 1014-nucleotide ribosomal RNA is filed under the name Triticum aestivum (bread wheat). RNAcentral describes it as "partial small subunit ribosomal RNA". The record is from RNAcentral. Lineage: Eukaryota; Viridiplantae; Streptophyta; Magnoliopsida; Poales; Poaceae.
AUGUCGUCGUCGUCUUCCGAGGAGGAGGCGGCGCGGUCGAGGAGCGCGCCGGCCCCAGGCAAGCGCGGUUCGGCGAGCGCGGCGGCCCGCGGCAAGUCCGGUUCGGCGGGUGCGAGGGUCCCCGGCAAGGCCCGCUCGGUCGCCUCCGGCAAGUCGGUCUGGGCCGAGAUGGGCGUGGCGCCCUUCCAGGACGGGCAGUACGUGCGCCUCCGCAACCGCGGCCGCGGCGGUUACCUCUGCGCCGACGAGACGGGGCGGGGCGUCUCCAUCGACCACCGCCGCGAGAUGGUCAACACGGCGUGGGCCGUGAUGGUCCUGGAGACCGACACCAACUACUUCGUCCUGCUCCGCGGCGCCUACGGCCGGCACCUCGCCGUCACGCGCGACGAGGCGGGGCCCGGCCACAUCGGCUUCGACGCCGCCCAGUGCGCCUUCGACGAGCCGGAGGACACCCACGUCAUGUGGUGGACCACCCCGGGGAAGAAGGGCAGCGUCGUGCUGCUCCACGGCACGUCGGCCAGGCUCAGCGCGCUCCGGGCCAACGGUCGGUUCCGCCGCUGGCACAGGCGCGUCACCGUCGAGGCCAUCAACCGCAGCCGCGUCACCUCGAUGAUGGAGUGGGAGGUUCAGGUCAUCCCCAUGAGGGUGGAGAGGCCACCGUACCAGCUGCGACCAGGAGGACCCGAUAUUCCAUGGCACCAAGGCUCUGAAGAGACUGUGCAAGUCAAUUUCGUCGUGGCAGAUGAUAACGGGAGCACGGAUGGGCAGGGCAGGGAAGCUCUCACGCUCCAUGGCAGGAGUCUGAUGGGGCUGGGCAAUGAACUGGCGCAGCGGCUGGGCGACGGCCUCAACUUCCAGGACAUCACCCUCUGCAUUCAGGCAGGCAACCUUGCGCAGCCCACCGUUCUGCUCACCGACCUGCCCCACAGAGACGACCCCGUUGACAUCGUGGUGUUCAGAGUUGGCACACCAGGGCAUGACCGACUGCUGUUUCCAGAUCUUGAUGCUGAAUAG